UUUUCUACGAGUCGAGUUGUUUGGGAAUGCAGCUCAAAAUGGGUGGUAAAUUCCAUCUAAAGCUAAAUAUAGGCGAGAGACCGAUAGCGAACAAGUACCGUGAGGGAAAGAUGAAAAGCACUUUGGAAAGAGAGUUAAACAGUAUGUGAAAUUGUUGAAAGGGAAACGAUUGAAGUCAGUCAUGUCCAUUGGAUUCAGCUGGUUCUGCCAGUGUAUUUCCUUUGGACGGGUCAACAUCAGUUUGAGCCGACGGAUAAUGGCAGAGGGAAUGUGGCACCCCCGGGUGUGUUAUAGCCCUUUGUCGCAUACGUCGGCCCAGACUGAGGAAUGCAGCUCGCCUUUAUGGCCGGGGUUCGCCCACGUACGAGCUUAGGAUGUUGGCAUAAUGGC
This 390-nucleotide ribosomal RNA is filed under the name Saitozyma flava. RNAcentral describes it as "eukaryotic LSU rRNA". It matches the Rfam family "Eukaryotic large subunit ribosomal RNA", at positions 254 to 638 of the family's 3401-position model. The record is from RNAcentral. Lineage: Eukaryota; Fungi; Basidiomycota; Tremellomycetes; Tremellales; Trimorphomycetaceae.